This 97-nucleotide transfer RNA is filed under the name Pseudomonadota bacterium. RNAcentral's name for it is "tRNA-Ser". It matches the Rfam family "tRNA". From Rfam's summary of the family: Transfer RNA (tRNA) molecules are approximately 80 nucleotides in length. The record is from RNAcentral. RNAcentral also lists the same sequence under 1 other name. Lineage: Bacteria; Pseudomonadati; Pseudomonadota.
GGAGAGUUGGCUGAGUGGUCGAAAGCGGCCGCCUGCUAAGCGGUUGUAGGGGCAUUUAAAGCCUCUACCCCGGGUUCGAAUCCCGGACUCUCCGCCA